This 404-nucleotide ribosomal RNA is filed under the name uncultured fungus. Its description in RNAcentral is "eukaryotic LSU rRNA". It matches the Rfam family "Eukaryotic large subunit ribosomal RNA", at positions 40 to 398 of the family's 3401-position model. The record is from RNAcentral. Lineage: Eukaryota; Fungi.
AUAUCAAUAAGCGCAGGAAAAGAAACUAACAAGGAUUCCCUCAGUAACGGCGAGUGAAGCGGGAAAAGCCCAUAUUUGAAAUCGUUGCUCAACAACGAGUUGUACAUGGUAAAAGGAAACGUCAAGGGUUUAAAUUGUUUAAUUGAUAGACAACUCAAGUCAGUUGGAAAACUGUACCAUAGAGGGUGAAAGUCCCGUUCAUGGUUGUAAUUAAUCAAUUAAACAAGAAAAAGUUUACUUUCUCUUGAUAAAUUUUAUUCCUUUAAAGAGUCGAGUUGUUUGGGAUUGCAGCUCAAAAGGGGUGGUAAAUUUCAUCCAAGGCUAAAUAUAAGCGAGAGACCGAUAGCGAACAAGUAGAGUGAUCGAAAGAUGAAAAGCACUUUGAAAAGAGAGUGAAAUAGUAC